CCUACGGGUGGCAGCAGUAGGGAAUAUUGCUCAAUGGGGGAAACCCUGAAGCAGCAACGCCGCGUGGAGGAUGAAGGUUUUCGGAUUGUAAACUCCUUUUGUUAGAGAAGAUAAUGACGGUAUCUAACGAAUAAGCACCGGCGAACUCCGUUCCAGCAGCCGCGGUAAUACGGAGGGUGCAAGCGUUACUCGGAAUCACUGGGCGUAAAGAGCGCGUAGGCGGGAUAGCAAGUCAGAUGUGAAAUCCUAUGGCUUAACCAUAGAACUGCAGUUGAAACUGUUAUUCUAGAGUAUGGGAGAGGUAGGUGGAAUUCUUGGUGUAGGGGUAAAAUGCGUAGAGAUCAAGAGGAAUACUCAUUGCGAAGGCGACCUGCUAGAACAUAACUGACGCUGAUGCGCGAAAGCGUGGGGAGCAAACAGGAUUAGAUACCCUAGUAGUC
RNAcentral lists this ribosomal RNA (440 nucleotides) under uncultured bacterium. RNAcentral's name for it is "partial 16S ribosomal RNA". It matches the Rfam family "Bacterial small subunit ribosomal RNA", at positions 338 to 795 of the family's 1533-position model. The record is from RNAcentral.